GACGAACGCUGGCGGCGUGCCUAAUACAUGCAAGUAGAACGCUGAAGAGAGGAGCUUGCUCUUCUUGGAUGAGUUGCGAACGGGUGAGUAACGCGUAGGUAACCUGCCUGGUAGCGGGGGAUAACUAUUGGAAACGAUAGCUGAUACCGCAUAAAAUUGAUUAUUGCAUGAUAAUUAAUUGAAAGAUGCAACUGCAUCACUACCAGAUGGACCUGCGUUGUAUUAGCUAGUUGGUGAGGUAACGGCUCACCAAGGCGACGAUACAUAGCCGACCUGAGAGGGUGAUCGGCCACACUGGGACUGAGACACGGCCCAGACUCCUACGGGAGGCAGCAGUAGGGAAUCUUCGGCAAUGGGGGGAACCCUGACCGAGCAACGCCGCGUGAGUGAAGAAGGUUUUCGGAUCGUAAAGCUCUGUUGUAAGAGAAGAACGGGUGUGUGAGUGGAAAGUUCACACUGUGACGGUAUCUUACCAGAAAGGGACGGCUAACUACGUG
RNAcentral lists this ribosomal RNA (497 nucleotides) under uncultured bacterium. Its description in RNAcentral is "partial 16S ribosomal RNA". It matches the Rfam family "Bacterial small subunit ribosomal RNA", at positions 28 to 507 of the family's 1533-position model. The record is from RNAcentral.